This 252-nucleotide ribosomal RNA is filed under the name uncultured bacterium. RNAcentral's name for it is "partial 16S ribosomal RNA". It matches the Rfam family "Bacterial small subunit ribosomal RNA", at positions 524 to 775 of the family's 1533-position model. The record is from RNAcentral.
UACGUAGGGUGCGAGCGUUAAUCGGAAUUACUGGGCGUAAAGCGUGCGCAGGCGGUUCGUUAAGACAGAUGUGAAAUCCCCGGGCUUAACCUGGGAACUGCAUUUGUGACUGGCGAGCUAGAGUAUGGCAGAGGGAAGUGGAAUUUCCGGUGUAGCGGUGAAAUGCGUAGAUAUCGGAAGGAACACCAGUGGCGAAAGCGACUUCCUGGUCGAAUACUGACGUUCAUGUGCGAAAGCGUGGGGAGCAAACAG